RNAcentral lists this ribosomal RNA (515 nucleotides) under Hayashidonus japonicus. RNAcentral describes it as "partial 16S ribosomal RNA". It matches the Rfam family "Archaeal large subunit ribosomal RNA", at positions 1922 to 2664 of the family's 2987-position model. Lineage: Eukaryota; Metazoa; Arthropoda; Malacostraca; Decapoda; Processidae. The record is from RNAcentral.
GCCGUAUGGAGUUGUAGGUAUAAGGUCUGGCCUGCCCACUGAUUUUUUUUAAGGGCCGCGGUAAUUUGACCGUGCGAAGGUAGCAUAAUCAAUAGUCUCUUAAUUGGAGGCUGGAAUGAAAGGUCGGACAAAGAAUAAAUUGUCUCUUAUAUAAAAAUUGAAUUUUACUUUUAAGUGAAAAGGCUUAAAUGACCCAAAGGGACGAUAAGACCCUAUAAAACUUUACAGGUAGCUUUUAUAUUUUUGAAUGAGAUGUAUAAUAAUUAUAUAGAAGUAGCUGUUUUGUUGGGGCGACAAAGAUAUAAUUACACAGAAUAACUGUCUAAUGAAAUUAAAUAAUUCUUUUUAGUUGUUGAUCCUUCUUUGUUGAUUAUAAGAUUAAGUUACUUUAGGGAUAACAGCGUGAUUUUUUCUGAGAGUCCUUAUCGAUGAAAGUAGUUGCGACCUCGAUGUUGAAUUAAAGUUUCCUUUAUGUGCAGCAGUGUAUAAGGUUGGUCUGUUCCACCAUUAAAAUU